GAUGAACGCUGGCGGCGUGCCUAAUACAUGCAAGUCGAGCGAACGGACGCGAAGCUUGCUUUUCUGAUGUUAGCGGCGGACGGGUGAGUAACACGUGGAUCACCUACCUAUAAGACUGGGAUAACUUCGGGAAACCGGAGCUAAUACCGUAUAAUAUUUUGAACCGCAUGGUUCAAAAGUGAAAGACGGUCUUGCUGUCACUUAUCGAUGGAUCCGCGCUUCAUUAGCUAGUUGGUAAGGUAACGGCUUACCAAGGCAACGAUGCAUAGCCGACCUGAGAGGGUGAUCGGCCACACUGGAACUGAGGCACGGUCCAGACUCCUACGGGAGGCAGCAGUAGGGAAUCUUACGCAAUGGGCGAAAGCCUGACGGAGCAACGCCGCGUGAGUGAUGAAGGUCUUCGGAUCGUAAAACUCUGUUAUUAGGGAAGAACAUAUGUGUAAGUAACUGUGCACAUCUUGACGGUACCUAAUCAGAAAGCCACGGCUAACUACGUG
RNAcentral lists this ribosomal RNA (497 nucleotides) under uncultured bacterium. Its description in RNAcentral is "partial 16S ribosomal RNA". It matches the Rfam family "Bacterial small subunit ribosomal RNA", at positions 28 to 507 of the family's 1533-position model. The record is from RNAcentral.